RNAcentral lists this ribosomal RNA (253 nucleotides) under uncultured bacterium. RNAcentral describes it as "partial 16S ribosomal RNA". It matches the Rfam family "Bacterial small subunit ribosomal RNA", at positions 524 to 776 of the family's 1533-position model. The record is from RNAcentral.
UACGGAGGGUGCAAGCGUUAUCCGGAUUCACUGGGUUUACAGGGUGCGUAGGAGGGCAGGGAAGUCCGUGGUGAAAUCUCCGAGCUUAACUCGGAAACUGCCGUGGAUACUCUCUGUCUUGAAUCCCGUGGAGAUGAGCGGAAUAUGUCAUGUAGCGGUGAAAUGCUUAGAUAUGACAUAGAACACCAAUUGCGAAGGCAGCUCGUUACACGAAGAUUGACUCUGAGGCACGAAAGCGUGGGGAUCAAACAGG